UAAAUUGAAGCCAAAUUAGAGGCAACUAACUGUUAAUUAGAAAAUUGUUAUUUAAACCAAUUUAA
This 65-nucleotide transfer RNA is filed under the name Gesiella jameensis. RNAcentral's name for it is "tRNA-Asn". Lineage: Eukaryota; Metazoa; Annelida; Polychaeta; Phyllodocida; Polynoidae. The record is from RNAcentral.